CAACUUUUGUAUCACAUACACAUUACAUAAUGUUUAAAAGGUACUUUGUCACAUUAUUUAAUCACUGCUUCUUAGAGCUCAACUUUUCAUAAUUGUGCUCCGUACAUAGUUUGCACAAAUUGGAUGCAUUAUGGAAAUUACAUACAGAUGACCAAUUUAGCAUCUAAUAGAUUCCAUGUUCCAGUAUUAAAGGGACCAGCACAUCACAUGCUGGCACAUCUCGUGUAAGCAGGAAGUUUGGUAUCACAGGGCAACCACUUUGUGCAACUAGAAACAUCCACAAAGGAAGGAGGGCCCCAAGAAGUACUUAAAAUGGAAACUUAUGUAUGUUUCAUUGUCUGCUUAGACAUUCCUCACCUAUACUUAAAAAUUUAGUACUGACAUCUGCUCUAAUCCAAUGAAAUACAUAGUUGAAUCUUGGUUCUUUUAACCUCAGCAUAGUGCCUUUUGCUGUGUGUGUUUAAGUGAAUUCUUUAUAUUUAAAGGUUUGUGGGGGUUUUUUUGUUUUGUUUUUUGAGCUAAGUAGUUUUUAACUGUACUUUUUGGGAGUUAGUAAUUGUGACAAUAGUAAUUCUGACUCUUUCAAACUAUCUUACAAAUCUUGUCUUCCAAUUUUGUUACGGUAAAAGCUUUUGCUGAUGUCCAUGUUCUAAUAUGCGUCUCAUUACAUUGGAAACUAUUCAGCAGCUGUUCCCUGGGUCAGAGGGCCGUGUGGACACACACCUGUAAGUUUUGCAAGUGAUGGUAGCAGCCUUGAUGAAGAUGAUGGAAUCCAAUAGACAAAGCCUGUUUUAAUCAGAUGCUUUACACUUAACUAGAAAAUCCACUUAAUGCAGGAAAUACCUAGGCCAUCUGUUUAUUCCCAGACAUGUGUAAUAGGGACUGUAAUUAUGCCCACUUGGGAUAAAAGUUACAGGUGAAUAUCCAGUGGAUUUCUCUCUUCUGCUGUGGAACUCUUAAUUGCCAGUGUGGUUCCUGUGAAUCUUUGUGACAUCUGUACUUCGAAGAGUAGUAGAUGCAGAAGAAACUUCCCAAGAUACAGAAUCCAGUUACCAUGUAUAUGUACUUGAUAUCUUUUUAAAACUGAAUGGGAUCGUUCUGCCAAGUUUUCUAGGAGAUGUUGAUGUAUCUGAUUGUCUGUUCAGAAACUGUAAUAUACGUAGUGAGUACCUUGAGCUGUCUACUACAGUGCAUAUAAGAGGAACAGGGUUGACCCUACAAAGGCUUCCAAUUUAGCAGGUAACCAAGUUUGGAUGUACUACACUCCCCUAUCUGUAGAUCUGUGAAAAAACUAAGAAAACUAGAGAAGGCAGAUCUUUAAAAACCAGUUUAUACCCACUUGCUCAUCCUAAAACAAAUUUCAGGUUUGAGAAAUGCAUUUAGUAAUUGAUAACAUUAAAAUGUUUUUGAAAAUCUCAUUUUAAAUAUGGUAUUUUAAAAACUACUACUGCUAAUGGUAACUUUACUAAUAAAAUAUUUUAGGAUGCUAGCAGUAUGAGGAUUAUGGGAGUUUAUACUAAUGAAUAACUGGUUUUAACAAUCCAGCUGAAAGCUCUAAGCAACUUUUACAAAAUAGUCUUUAAAAUCUGUAUUAAAGCAGAUUUGCAAUUUGCCAUAGAAUUCCAAUUUUUGUAAGAUGUCUGCUGCCAGAAAUAGACUUGGAAUGCCAAUUAUAAUUGGAUUUAAUAUACUACACGUUUGAUUAAUAAUGAAAAAUGCUUCACUGUGUAAACAUUCAGUCUGAUGGUCUGAGCAAAGGGUGGAAUGUGAAAGAUCAAAAGAAACUGUAACAAGUAGCAUUAACAAGCAAAAACUAAAAUUGUUUUACCCCAAAGUAGCUCUUGCUGUUUUGCUCAACUCGAUAGCAUUUGUACUGAGCAUAAACUGCUCUAGUUGAGAGUUAAACUUGUGUACCUGAAAUUUAUCCUCAACUCUGCUUUGAAGCAGAAACUCUGCUUCCAGUUUCAAGAAAUAGAUUAAUUUUUGCAAGUGAUAGCAUACCCAGCAGUGUUUAGACCUGAUGGCAUGUCUUGUGUUGCAUAUCUAUCUCAUAGCUUGAUUAGUUUUUGAGGGAGUCAUGUCAUCCUGUGCCAAAAGGAUCAUAGUUGGCUAUUGCAGGGCCUUUGAAGUGAGUGAGUCAUUGGGACACUUGUGAAUGACACCUUGAGAUGGGCUGGGCUGCAUUAUCACUAAAGUGACAUUUUUUUAAAUGUUCACGUAAGUUACUUGGUAUCACAAUUGCUCUAACUAAAAAUAUAUAAUUGGAUGGGCUGUUGGGUGGAGUGGGAUGUCUUAUUCAGUUUUGGUCCAUACAUAUGGUAUCUAUAAAUACAACAAGCAAGUAAGAUUUCUAGCACAUGCAUACAUAAUAUAUUUUUCUAAAGCUAUUUAAAACUUGAAGUUGCUUGUUAUCACUUUCCUAUUCCAUUCCUAGUUAGUCUUGUAUUCAUCCUUCUAGCCUAGGUUACACUGGACAACUAGAAAAGUAGGUGACUAGUCUAGUGGGUUUAAAAAAAAAUUCUUAGAUCUUAUUUUUUAGCUAUUUAAAGAGCUGAUUGCUUAGUGGAUCUGAGUAGACUGCUCGAUAGGAAUAUCUACGGAAAAACAGUAAGUUUUCAAAAUUUCCUGUUAUACAAUAAGUAUUAAAACAGUCUUGAUGAAGACUUCAUUAGUGUUUGCAGAAUUCUGGGUGGUCAUAAUUUUAUUUAUGUGUAAUAAAACAGCAGUGAAGUACUGUGAACAAAAGCCAGCAUUAUUUCAAGAUAUGAAACCCCCCCCACCCCUGCUUCUAGAUGAUAGAAAAGAUUUUGUUGCUAAACUAUAAAACCUAAGAUUACAUCUGUUUAUGAGAGGACAUUUAUUGUUUUAAGCUUGUUUACUUUGUGUAUUUGACAGCAUUUGUGUGUUGGCCAUUUCACUGAUUUUUUUUCACUCUGUGGGGUCUUUUACAUGGCUUCAGGAGAAUUUUUUUAAAAAUUAAAAACUCUUAAGUGCCAUUUGUAAACUACAAAAUGAUCGAGAGGCUAACGGGGGAGGUGGGAGGUAGCAGGGUGUAGUUCCUGAAACUACUAACGCUUGAAUUUUGACAUGAUUUAAUGGAGUGCCCCUUUUUAA
Long non-coding RNA from Dermochelys coriacea (leatherback sea turtle), 3114 nucleotides. RefSeq lists it as uncharacterized. The transcript has 3 exons. The record is from RefSeq and is a predicted model, not a curated record. Lineage: Eukaryota; Metazoa; Chordata; Testudines; Dermochelyidae.